RNAcentral lists this unclassified non-coding RNA (615 nucleotides) under Scedosporium boydii. Its description in RNAcentral is "sequence contains 18S rRNA gene, ITS1, 5.8S rRNA gene, ITS2, 28S rRNA gene". The stretch from base 213 to 366 matches the Rfam family "5.8S ribosomal RNA". The record is from RNAcentral. Lineage: Eukaryota; Fungi; Ascomycota; Sordariomycetes; Microascales; Microascaceae.
UCGUAACAAGGUCUCCGUUGGUGAACCAGCGGAGGGAUCAUUACAGAGUUACUACUCCAAACCCAUUGUGAACCUUACCUAUGUUCUGUUGCCUCGGCGGCGUGGUCAGCGCCCCCUCUGAAAAGAGGACGAUGCCCUCCCGCCGGCAGCACCAAACUCUUUGAAUUUUACAGCGGAUUACAGUUCUGAUUUGAAAACAAAAAACAAGUUAAAACUUUCAACAACGGAUCUCUUGGUUCUGGCAUCGAUGAAGAACGCAGCGAAAUGCGAUAAGUAAUGUGAAUUGCAGAAUUCAGUGAAUCAUCGAAUCUUUGAACGCACAUUGCGCCCGGCAGUAAUCUGCCGGGCAUGCCUGUCCGAGCGUCAUUUCAACCCUCGAACCUCCGUUUCCUCAGGGAAGCUCAGGGUCGGUGUUGGGGCGCUACGGCGAGUCUUCGCGACCCUCCGUAGGCCCUGAAAUACAGUGGCGGUCCCGCCGCGGUUGCCUUCUGCGUAGUAAGUCUCUUUUGCAAGCUCGCAUUGGGUCCCGGCGGAGGCCUGCCGUCAAACCACCUAUAACUCCAGAUGGUUUGACCUCGGAUCAGGUAGGGUUACCCGCUGAACCUAAGCAUAUCA